This 454-nucleotide ribosomal RNA is filed under the name Halorubrum sp. HA77. RNAcentral's name for it is "bacterial SSU rRNA". It matches the Rfam family "Archaeal small subunit ribosomal RNA", at positions 404 to 857 of the family's 1478-position model. The record is from RNAcentral. Lineage: Archaea; Methanobacteriati; Methanobacteriota; Halobacteria; Halobacteriales; Haloferacaceae.
GCGCUUUUGUACACCGUAGGGAGGUGUACGAAUAAGGGCUGGGCAAGACCGGUGCCAGCCGCCGCGGUAAUACCGGCAGCCCGAGUGAUGGCCGAUCUUAUUGGGCCUAAAGCGUCCGUAGCUGGCCGCACAAGUCCAUCGGAAAAUCCACCCGCCCAACGGGUGGGCGUCCGGUGGAAACUGUGUGGCUUGGGACCGGAAGGCGCGACGGGUACGUCCGGGGUAGGAGUGAAAUCCCGUAAUCCUGGACGGACCGCCGAUGGCGAAAGCACGUCGCGAGGACGGAUCCGACAGUGAGGGACGAAAGCCAGGGUCUCGAACCGGAUUAGAUACCCGGGUAGUCCUGGCCGUAAACAAUGUCUGUUAGGUGUGGCUCCCACUACGAGUGGGUGCUGUGCCGUAGGGAAGCCGCUAAACAGACCGCCUGGGAAGUACGUCCGCAAGGAUGAAACUU